UAUGGGAAUGAUCGGUGCCGGAAGAGGCAGCGAAAAUUAUGAAAUGAUAAUAGAAAAGUGGUUAAGUUAAUCGUGAAAGAUGUCAACGCAGACGUAAAUGUAGUAUGUUUUGUUACAUGAUCUACGGCUAUUUCAUUACCAAAGCUCCUGAUAACAGAUCAAAGCAGAUGGAUCGGGCAUACAGAGUCGCCGUUUAAUUUAAAAUAUCUGCGUGAUCGCAAACGCAUCAAACAGCAAGUGUUUUUCCUUCCAACAGCACGCACCAUCGGUGGAGCAGCAGCUAACGUUUUGUUCGCCUAGCGCGCACCAUCAAGAAUUGAUAUUUU
Molecule: long non-coding RNA, 326 nt
Organism: Anopheles arabiensis
Lineage: Eukaryota; Metazoa; Arthropoda; Insecta; Diptera; Culicidae
Exons: 3
Source: RefSeq, a predicted model, not a curated record